This 253-nucleotide ribosomal RNA is filed under the name uncultured bacterium. RNAcentral describes it as "partial 16S ribosomal RNA". It matches the Rfam family "Bacterial small subunit ribosomal RNA", at positions 524 to 776 of the family's 1533-position model. The record is from RNAcentral.
UACGGGGGGGGCAAGCGUUGUUCGGAAUUACUGGGCGUAAAGGGCUCGUAGGUGGCCAACUAAGUCAGACGUGAAAUCCCUCGGCUUAACCGGGGAACUGCGUCUGAUACUGGAUGGCUUGAGUGUGGGAGAGGGAUGCGGAAUUCCAGGUGUAGCGGUGAAAUGCGUAGAUAUCGGGAGGAACACCGGUGGCGAAGGCGGUUCUCUGGGCCUUACCUGACGCUGAGGAGCGAAAGCGUGGGGAGCGAACAGG